CUUCAUUUUCAUUUUCAUUUUCAUUUUCUUUUAUUUUUCUCCUUCUAAUUUCUUGAUAUUUUGGAGAUCAAACCUAGAGCACAACGAGAUUCAAUCAAAGGAUUUGAGCAAGAAAAGUUGAUGAUAGUAGCUUAGGAAGUUGUGAACCGGCAAAAGAUGAGGUGACAACUAAGGUAUGAACAGUACUUCUUGAAUGAACGGUUAGAUGAAAUGCCGAAGACAUUCAACAUUUCGCAUAUUCGAAGAAAUUUAUGUGUCCCGUUGUAUGCUUAUGCCAAGAAGCAGCAAGAUGAGGACUUUGACACGGACAAUGAAUGGUCAUCAAAGGAAGUAGAUUAGUGAUAUGUUGAUGAGAAGAGAUAGAGAUGAAUGUAUAGGACUGACAAGAAAAUAGUUAUUGUGUUUAAAUUCUGACAAGAUAGGUUUUGACUGCUCUAACAGUUUUUAUUUUUAGCUUUUGUGGUCAUGGUGCGUAUAAUUAAUGAUAAAUUGUCACUUUUUUGUUAUGAAGUGACUACUUGGGCAUGAAUUUUAACA
Olea europaea var. sylvestris is the source of this 537-nucleotide long non-coding RNA. RefSeq lists it as uncharacterized. The transcript has 3 exons. The record is from RefSeq and is a predicted model, not a curated record. NCBI's taxonomy places the organism in Eukaryota, Viridiplantae, Streptophyta, Magnoliopsida, Lamiales, Oleaceae.